GACGAACGCUGGCGGCGUGCUUAACACAUGCAAGUCGAACGGAAAGGCCCUGCUUUUGUGGGGUGCUCGAGUGGCGAACGGGUGAGUAACACGUGAGUAACCUGCCCUUGACUUUGGGAUAACUUCAGGAAACUGGGGCUAAUACCGGAUAGGAGCUCCUGCUGCAUGGUGGGGGUUGGAAAGUUUCGGCGGUUGGGGAUGGACUCGCGGCUUAUCAGCUUGUUGGUGGGGUAGUGGCUUACCAAGGCUUUGACGGGUAGCCGGCCUGAGAGGGUGACCGGCCACAUUGGGACUGAGAUACGGCCCAGACUCCUACGGGAGGCAGCAGUGGGGAAUAUUGCACAAUGGGCGGAAGCCUGAUGCAGCAACGCCGCGUGCGGGAUGACGGCCUUCGGGUUGUAAACCGCUUUCGCCUGUGACGAAGCGUGAGUGACGGUAAUGGGUAAAGAAGCACCGGCUAACUACGUGCCAGCAGCCGCGGUGAUACGUAGGGUGCGAGCGUUGUCCGGAUUUAUUGGGCGUACAGGGCUCGUAGGUGGUUGAUCGCGUCGGAAGUGUAAUCUUGGGGCUUAACCCUGAGCGUGCUUUCGAUACGGGUUGACUUGAGGAAGGUAGGGGAGAAUGGAAUUCCUGGUGGAGCGGUGGAAUGCGCAGAUAUCAGGAGGAACACCAGUGGCGAAGGCGGUUCUCUGGGCCUUUCCUGACGCUGAGGAGCGAAAGCGUGGGGAGCGAACAGGCUUAGAUACCCUGGUAGUCCACGCUGUAAACGGUGGGUACUAGGUGUGGGGUCCAUUCCACGGGUUCCGUGCCGUAGCUAACGCUUUAAGUACCCCGCCUGGGGAGUACGGCCGCAAGGCUAAAACUCAAAGGAAUUGACGGGGCCCCGCACAAGCGGCGGAGCAUGCGGAUUAAUUCGAUGCAACGCGUAGAACCUUACCUGGGUUUGACAUGGAUCGGGAGUGCUCAGAGAUGGGUGUGCCUCUUUUGGGGUCGGUUCACAGGUGGUGCAUGGCUGUCGUCAGCUCGUGUCGUGAGAUGUUGGGUUAAGUCCCGCAACGAGCGCAACCCUUGUUCACUGUUGCCAGCACGUUAUGGUGGGGACUCAGUGGAGACCGCCGGGGUCAACUCGGAGGAAGGUGGGGAUGACGUCAAGUCAUCAUGCCCCUUAUGUCCAGGGCUUCACGCAUGCUACAAUGGCUGGUACAGAGAGUGGCGAGCCUGUGAGGGUGAGCGAAUCUCGGAAAGCCGGUCUCAGUUCGGAUUGGGGUCUGCAACUCGACCUCAUGAAGUCGGAGUCGCUAGUAAUCGCAGAUCAGCAACGCUGCGGUGAAUACGUUCCCGGGGCU
This 1346-nucleotide ribosomal RNA is filed under the name uncultured bacterium. RNAcentral's name for it is "partial 16S ribosomal RNA". It matches the Rfam family "Bacterial small subunit ribosomal RNA", at positions 28 to 1381 of the family's 1533-position model. The record is from RNAcentral.